This 466-nucleotide ribosomal RNA is filed under the name uncultured bacterium. Its description in RNAcentral is "partial 16S ribosomal RNA". It matches the Rfam family "Bacterial small subunit ribosomal RNA", at positions 28 to 505 of the family's 1533-position model. The record is from RNAcentral.
GGCGAACGCUGGCGGCGUGCUUAACACAUGCAAGUCGAACGGAAAGGCCCUGCUUUUGUGGGGUGCUCGAGUGGCGAACGGGUGAGUAACACGUGAGUAACCUGCCCUUGACUUUGGGAUAACUUCAGGAAACUGGGGCUAAUACCGGAUAGGAGCUCCUGCUGCAUGGUGGGGGUUGGAAAGUUUCGGCGGUUGGGGAUGGACUCGCGGCUUAUCAGCUUGUUGGUGGGGUAGUGGCUUACCAAGGCUUUGACGGGUAGCCGGCCUGAGAGGGUGACCGGCCACAUCGGGACUGAGAUACGGCCCAGACUCCUACGGGAGGCAGCAGUGGGGAAUAUUGCACAAUGGGCGGAAGCCUGAUGCAGCAACGCCGCGUGCGGGAUGACGGCCUUCGGGUUGUAAACCGCUUUCGCCUGUGACGAAGAGUGAGUGACGGUAAGGGGUAAAGAAGCACCGGCUAACUACG